Sesamum indicum (sesame) is the source of this 431-nucleotide non-coding RNA. Lineage: Eukaryota; Viridiplantae; Streptophyta; Magnoliopsida; Lamiales; Pedaliaceae. The record is from RefSeq and is a predicted model, not a curated record.
ACCGGGAAGGCAUCAUAUUAUGUUUUACUGCCAUAUGAGAGUUUGAACAGAAAAAAAAUGGAAGCCAAAGAAAUCCAGCUUGGGCAGAGGGCGGUGUUCCCAAUACUGGAGGAAGUCUAUCCCGAGAUGGAAAGUAAGUAUUCGUUGUCAAUGACGGAACGACUGGAGGGGAGAUGGACUGUUGAGGUUAGAAAACGCACGGGAACCACCAAAACUGAAAAGUUUUAUUUCCAUGAGAAGGUCAAGAAAACCAUCCGUUCUAUGAACGACGUUGCAACGUUCAUCAUGUACCGCGUGAUUUACUAGGCUCUGAUUUGACAAGGCAGGUGAAUACUCUGAUCAUGAACAUAACAUGCAGCCUUCUUCCAUAUCGCAAUUCUAUGUUGAAAACUCAAUGGCUAUCAUGUUGAUCUGGGAACAAGAGAGUUAUG